GCGAAAUGUGCRGGAGCAGCAGCGAAGAUAGCACAUGCCUGAAAUCACGAGAGUGAGACUACCCCUUUGAAUUAAGCAUAUGAGUAAAGRGRGGAAAAGAAACUAACRRGGAUUCCURUAGUAGCGGCGAGCGAAGAAGGAACAGCCCCGAGUGUAAUCACCUAAUUAAUAUAGAGUGAGAUGUCAUWAAUCUAUAGAACGAUGUUGAAACUUCGGCCUGAGAGGGUGAUAGCCCCGUAAAAUAGAUGUAACAMGGGAGUAGCAGUGUUUGGUAUUGCACUGUGAAAGGGUGGCAGCGCCCAUCCAAGGCUAAAUACAAAGCGAGACCGAUAGUGAAUAAGUAGAGCGAUCGAAAAACGAAUAGACUGAAAAAGUGAAA
Molecule: ribosomal RNA, 379 nt
Filed under: Loma pacificodae
Lineage: Eukaryota; Fungi; Microsporidia; Glugeidae
Description: partial large subunit ribosomal RNA
Rfam family: Eukaryotic large subunit ribosomal RNA
Source: RNAcentral